This 1865-nucleotide unclassified non-coding RNA is filed under the name uncultured fungus. RNAcentral's name for it is "sequence contains 18S rRNA gene, ITS1, 5.8S rRNA gene, ITS2, 28S rRNA gene". The stretch from base 752 to 1865 matches the Rfam family "Eukaryotic large subunit ribosomal RNA", at positions 1 to 961 of the family's 3401-position model. The record is from RNAcentral. Lineage: Eukaryota; Fungi.
GGAAGGAUCAUUAACACGUUCUAAACGUAUCAACCAAACGGUUAAGUGCAAACUUAUUCCCUGUAUUCUAAAGCUGUUCAAUAAUUUCUAGUGAUGGGUAAGUCUUUCGGGACUUACAGGAAAUAUUGAACUAGGGUUUUGAACCCAAGGUUUUCUAAUAUAGGCUUUUCCCUUCUUUCCAUCACUUCCAACCAACCAUUUUCACCACUCUUAACUUAUGACUAAAUCUUUCGAACGAAGAAAUUUGUUUGGAAUUGUAUAUCUAACACUGUACAACUCUUAGCAAUGGAUAUCUUGGUUCUCGCAACGAUGAAGAACGCAGCGAAAUGCGAUAUGUAAUGCGAAUUGCAGAAUUCAGUGAAUCAUCAAAUCUUUGAACGCAAAUGGCGCUUUCGGGAUAGACCUGGAAGCACGCCUCUCUGAGUAUCGGUUCAAACACAACUCAUUCAAUUAAUGGAUUUAUUCAUUAAGGUGAAUGGAAAAUGAGAGUCUAAGCAUCUGAUGCUUUGUCUCUUUAAAUAUGUUGAGCUUCGAUCUCUCUAAUCGUUUAGAUCCUUGUGAUCUAAUAGCCUUCAUGGCUUUUUCGAUAUUAGUGACGUGGAUAUUAAUCACUUUGUGAUUGCAAGAAACGUCUGUCUAACUAUUGAAAAUCUAUGUUAUGAAGUGUGAAGAAUAGAGAUGUAUUGUAAGUGUAGAAUUGAAACCUAAGUAUAUGAAUACGCAAGUAUCCAUAUAUGAAAAUCUUGAAAUUAGAUCUCAGAUGAAGCGAGAAGACCCCCUGAAUUUAAGCAUAUUAAUAAGGGGAGGAAAAGAAACUAACAAGGAUUCCCUUAGUAACGGCGAGUGAAGCGGGAAUAGCUCAACAUGAAAAUCGGUGUCCCAAGCGGGACUUCGAAUUGUAGCCUAGAGACGCGUUAUCAGCGUGUGACCCAGGAAUAAGUCCUUUGGAAGAAGGCAUCAAAGAGGGUGAGAAUCCCGUCCUUGUCCUGGAGUUCGCCGCGUACGAUGCGCGUUCGAAGAGUCGAGUUGUUUGGGAUUGCAGCUCUAAAUAGGUGGUAAGUUUCAUCUAAAGCUAAAUAUUGGCGAGAGACCGAUAGCGAACAAGUACCGUGAGGGAAAGAUGAAAAGAACUUUGAAAAGAGAGUUAAAAAGUACUUGAAAUUGCUAAGAGGGAACCGCUGGAACCCAGUGCUACCCAUGGUCAUUUUUGCCGUUUGCUAUUCGAUGUGUAUUGUUCUAGUUCGCAAGUCUAGUUCAGUGCUCGGAGGGUGGGUAGGCGGUACUGUGAUUGUGGGUGUGUCCGAAUCAGUUCGAUUCGCGGGAGAACCAAAGUCGGAAGGUGGGGUGCUUGCACUUGUUAUAGCCGACUUUGGAUACCGUGGGUUGGACUGAGGAUGUCAUAGUGCGCCUGUUGGCUUGAGACCUUGCUCCUAGUUGGCAUUCAUGGUUUGGAUAGCAAUGCUAUGCGGUCGUGGAUGUUGGCUACUGAGUGGGUGCUCUCAUAUGCACUAUCGCGAUUCGGACGAAAUGGGUUCCAUCGACCCGUCUUGAAACACGGACCAAGGAGUCUAACAUAUAUGCGAGUAUUUGGGUGGAAAACCCUUCGAUGCGAAAUGAAAGUAAAGGCAGCUUGCUGCUGUGGUAGGAAACCCGCAAGGGUGGCACUAUCGACCGAUCAUCACUUGUGAAAGAUUUGAGUAAGAGCAUAUCUGUUGGGACCCGAAAGAUGGUGAUCUAUGCCUGAACAGGGUGAAGCCAGGGGAAACUCUGGUGGAAGCUCGUAGCGAUACUGACGUGCAAAUCGUUCGUCUGAUUUGGGUAUAGGGGCGAAAGACUAAUCGAACCAUCUAGUAGCUGGUUCCCUC